Long non-coding RNA from Vicia villosa (hairy vetch), 3157 nucleotides. RefSeq lists it as uncharacterized. The transcript is spliced from 2 exons. The record is from RefSeq and is a predicted model, not a curated record. Lineage: Eukaryota; Viridiplantae; Streptophyta; Magnoliopsida; Fabales; Fabaceae.
GCCCACAGGUGUUUAUUGUAAUAGCGUAGGAAUUUUAUUUUUCUGCCUUUAAUUUCUUCAUUUUUUAACUGCGUGGUUAGUAAUCUUAGGGAGUGCAAGCCUUGAAUUAACAUAGCUCACUAAUUACAAGAUAAUAUAAUUGAAUUUAACCACAUGAUUGUGCCACACACACACACUUUAGGGUAACCUCUCUUGUUGCCUUAUUACUGUUUCUUAUUGUUGUUGCCUUAUUGUUGUUUCCUGUUGCCUUAAUUUGUAAAAAUAGUCAAGUCCCUCGAUUCCGAGGAUACCUAAAGCAAAUGUUGCCCUCAGUUCAUUCAUCGUCAGUUUUGUCCCUCGAUGUUGCCUCGGAAAAUGAUGAUUUGUCCCCAUGGCUAAGGUAUCCUCGCAUGAUGCCUAAAAAGAUUAAUGACUAUUAUAUCCUUCCCUUUGACUACCUGCCCUCUUUAUGGCAGGGGCAGUCUUAUGGCGAACGAAAACUCCGAUGACCCUUUACAUCCAAUAAAAGGACUUCCUACCCUCCUAUGGUAUGUGUAACACGGUGAAUUGACUUUUAUUUUGUAUAAGCAACAAUGUUGCGGUGAGCAAGAGUCGCCACCGACUUUUAUUUUAUCCAAUUAGGAAAGGUAUAAAAGAACAGGAAAGACCUUCUUUAAAAAGAGAUUGAGUUCGGGGGUAGGUUAUGAAAAGGAAAGGUGUAAGCACCCUUUUCAUCCGUAGUUAUCUACGGGAUCUUAGUUGCUUGGCUCACUUUUGUUUGAAAUGUUUGAUUUGUUUGAAAAAGUAGUGUGUGUUUAGAAAAACACUUUUGUUUGAAAAUGUCUAAAAAGACAAUGUUAAAAAACAUGGUGUGAAAAGUAUCUGUUUUUGUUUGAAUUGAUUGUGAGCAAGCACUUAAGAGUUCCUACCCUAAUUCGUAAGGUCUUUCCUAUUCAUUAAGACUUUCCUUGAGCGAUAGUACUAUCCAUACCAUAUAAGGGUAGGUAGUCCUAUACAUUGGAUGUGCGGGUCAUUGAAUCGUCUUAGGGACUAUCCAUACCAUAUGAGGGUAGGAAGUCCUAUGAGAUGUGAAUAGUCAUAAAGGCAACCAGUAAGGAUACCUUAGCCAUCGGAGGGACAAUCACCAUUUAAUCGAGGGACAAUAUCAUUUAUACGGAAAGGCGACAUCGAAGGGACUAUGAUCUUUAAAUCGGAGGGACGUGGUGAUUUUGAAUCGAAGGCAACACGGACUAAGGUAUCCCUACGCUCGAAGGGACUUGACUAUUGUUUUUCGAAAGGCAACCAAGAGGGGGAACCCUAAAGGUGAGUGUGUGAGCAAUAAAAGGGUGUGUUAAUUUCAGUUAUAUUAUCUUAAAGUUAGUGAUCUAACGGUUACUUUUAUCUUACCAUACAAUCCUAAAUCAUACAUCUAAACAGAUAAUAACAGCAGUUAUAAUGUGCGGAAAGUAAAAGUGCGGGAAGUAAAUGUCAUACGCUAUUACAGGGCUUCGGGGAGGGGGUUACAUAAUUCAAACGGGGAUGAAAAUUAUUACAAAACCCGAAUUAAAAAUAAUAUAUACAAGACAUAAAUGGUAAACGUCCGAAAGAUCCAAAAGUCUUGGUCUCAAGUGGUACCUCACAAAAAUAAGAAAAUGUUAGAAAAAUAACAUGGAAUAAUGAAGUAAAAAUAUGAACCAAAAUUGAUUUAAAAAGAAAUUAUAUGAAAAGAGAAAUAUAUAUUUUUUGUAUUUUUAAUAUAAAAUAUAAAUCUAAUAUUUUUGUAUUUUUUGAAAUUACUUUUAACGACUAAAGGAACUAACUUUUAAAUCAAUUUAGAGAAGAAAACAAAAACUAAUAAGAGUAUUAAAAUGGGCUGUACAAACAGAGCAAAAGUGGAGUGCAAAAAGUACAAAGGGGAAUGUCAAGUGGAUUCGAUGGGCUUAUUUGAGUUGGCCCAAAAGCAGAAUUUUGUAGUAAAAUAAAAACUGAGGGGGGUGAUUGAUGCGUAGGGAGUGUGGCUGAACAACACCAAGUAGGGCCCAUACCCGAUGGCCCAAUUGCCCCAUUCACUUAACAAACACACAAAAGAAACCUAGAAUCAGAACCAGAAACGGCUGCCCCCCAUUUUCUUUCCAUCGUUUUUUCUGUCAUCGUGAAAAACUCACCGAUUCUCAAAUCACCAUUUUUUUUAUAUUGAAGCAAGAACAACAAUAACAUUUGAAUUAAUACAAUGCAAUCAAUAGAAGAGAUAAGAUGCUAACCUUCAUGGCCUUGACUAUGACAACAACCGGAUUUUCAUGGUGGCGGAGAGUGGUGGUUCCGAUGGCCGGGCGAUUGAGGUGAUGAUGAAGAUCGAACCGUGUUGCUUUGUGUCUCGGUGAUGGUUGUGCGAAGAUUGAAUCGGAGUUGGUGCGAGUCGAUGCGUUGUCGCUGAGGGUGUCACGGCGGAGAUCGGCGUGGAGGAGUCGAGAGAAGGCGUGAGUGCCGUUCCGGCGGUGCUUAGACUUCGGAAUUGGUUGUGUCGGCUUCGAUUUAGAAUCUUCUUCUUCUUUCUAUCGCUGUGUUUUUGUUGUGCAAUUUGUUUGUUGUAGUGGCUGCAAAAGAAACAAAAAACGAAUGUUGUGUUGUUAAUUCGAUGAAUUUGAAAGAAAUUGAUGUUAUCACUGUUGUUUCUUCAAAUUCUGCAUCGCCAUUGUUUAUGCUUGCAGGUAUGUUGUUAAUGGAGCUGUUGAUGAUGAGAUAAAUCGGCAUUCGUAUGUUGACGCUGAUGAAGAGUUGAGUUGAUGUUGUACAUCGGAGAGAGGAGGUUGUGAUUUGAGUUCUGUUGGCCAUGGAUAUUUGCCGUGACACCAUAUCAGACUGGAGCUUGCGGCGAUGGGCUUGAGGCUGUGAGCAGGGAUUGAUUCCGAUUGUGAGUGUUGCUGUGCAUAGAAGACUUUCCAGAGGCUGCCGCUACUUGAAGCUAGUCAGAGAUGUCGGCCACGACGACUUGUGAUUUGUCUUUACGUUAUUUCUCCCAUUUCUGUUGUUUUUCAGUCUGAUUUUUCCUGCAAAAGACUUGAAAUACAUUGUUACUGAUAUUUCAAUAAUUUGGAGUUAUGUUUUUGUUCAUUGUAUUUGAAUAAUUGGAACUGCUCUGUUUGGAUUUAAUUUUGAAUUAAAAUUUCUGUGUCGUUCA